RNAcentral lists this ribosomal RNA (120 nucleotides) under Pteropus alecto (black flying fox). Lineage: Eukaryota; Metazoa; Chordata; Mammalia; Chiroptera; Pteropodidae. The record is from RNAcentral.
GUCUACCACCAUACCACCCUGAACAAGCCCAAUCCUGUCUGAUCUCGGAAGCUAAGCAGAGUCAAGUCUGGUUAGUACUUGGAUGGGAGAACCACCUAGGAAGACCAGGUGUUGUAGGUA